Sus scrofa (pig) is the source of this 5932-nucleotide long non-coding RNA. RefSeq lists it as uncharacterized. The record is from RefSeq and is a predicted model, not a curated record. Lineage: Eukaryota; Metazoa; Chordata; Mammalia; Artiodactyla; Suidae.
AUUGACAGACUAUUGUAAACAACUAUACUUUAAUAAAAAAAUUAAAGAGAUGUAUUGACACAGAAAGAUGCCCACAUCACAUACCACACAAAAUUGCAUAUAUAGGCAUCUGUGUGUAUGUGUGUGUCUAUAUAUUGAUAGACACUUAGAAGAGGGAUGUAUAUAUACACACACUUGCCCCUAGAGAGAUGCUUGGAAGUAGCAUAGGUGCCAAAUAUUAUCCAUAACAUCUCCCUCUAGGUGAUAAAAUUUGCAGGAUUUUUGCUUUCUUCUUUGUGCUGAAUUUUGUAGUCGAAUUUACUACACAUAAUGAAUAUGUAUCUUUUCCCCCCAAAGAACAAAGUUUUUGUAAAAGAGUACAAAAUAUUCAUAAGUUGGAAAAAUUGAUGCUAGAAUGAAUAAUAGAAUUAAGUGCAGUGUUUUUUUCUAAAUUGCCACUUGAAAUUAGAAUAAAAACACCCCAUUUUAAAAUAAUAAUUGCUGAUUCCCUUCCUUAAUAGUGUACCAGGCUAGUAAGAGCAGUAUUUUUCUAAGGUUCCAGCUAUUUCCAGGUGUCACAGUCCCACACGUUUUCAUGCCAAUGCUUUCCUGGAUACAAUGUUGUUUUCUCUUGCAAAGAAAGACUGACACAGAAAAACAUGUGGGAGAAAAAAGGCACUAAUUCUCCAAAGUUUUUAGACUCUUUUAUUAGAUAGGAUUUGCAGACUGAACAAGCCCAGCCUUAUGUAGUCUCCUAUAGGAGGGAUGGUUUGGCCUGAUACUUAUACCCUUUCCUGAAGGGUCACUAGGUUAUUUCUGCUCUCCACCCUGUCCUUUGGCACUGAUUAAUUUUCCUGAAGUUCCUCUCAAGUUUUGAGAAGCUGCCAGCACAGAUGCUCCCUACACUAAAUUGUUACCUGACCUCUUAACCCAGUAACUCCCAACUUAUCAUGACAAUACGGAAGACCUACAAAAAUUUCCAAGGCUGAUCGCCAGUGUGCACCUACUAAAAACCAAAACAUAACAUACAUUAAUACAUAAAGAGAAAAAUAUUGCCUUUUUCCUGUGCUCUGCCAGUUCUUCAUGAUGAAUAGACUUAAACUUGUUUGUCUAUCCAAUCUAAAUCAUGAAACAAUCUAGGAUUUUAAAAUAUAUCUACAAUCUUAGUCUACUUAGCAAGCAUUGGGAGUUACUUGGCAUCUCAGGGGGUUACGGAUCCACUGUUGUCACUGCUGUGACUCAGGUACCAUCCCUGGCCCAGGAACCUCUGCGUGGUAUGAGUGUGGCCAAAAAAAAAGUCUCCUCUUAGCAAGCACUGUAGUGCCAAGGACUACGGUAAGUAGCUUAUGUUCUUUAUCUCCAACUUGCCAAGGAAACUUCAUAGUGUUUUCCAUAGUGACUGUGCCAAUUUGCACUCUUGGCAACAGUGUACCAGGGUUAACAGUGCACUCGUUUAAAGAAUGAGAAUUCUUUACACUAAGUUUGCCAACUAUUCCACAUCAUGCACACCAAACCUAAAGGAAGGAAUAAAGAGGGUGUGUCAGCUAAGCCUGUCAUUUUUUAUUACAUAAGCAAAGUUUUCCAGAUGCCCCAUUCAACAUGCUUCCACUUGUUGGUUAGAACCAUAGCACAAGGCUAGUCCUGGCUGGAAGAUGUCAAGCGAAAGGGGUUGGAGCUGACCAGAAUACAGGUCAAGGAGAGAGCGUAUAAGAGAAGACAAGAGAAGGGUGAAUGGGGCUGAGCAGAAGCUGGGGAAAAGGACCUGUCGCCACCCCUGGGAAGGUUGUGGUUGGGGAUGGGAGAAGGAUGGUGGGUGAUGUAGACACCUGUGCUAUCUUUACAGUUUUGCAUUAGACUUGACUUUCCAGCAUGGCUUAUGUAAAAUGGAUUUUCUGUGUCUCUCUUUUAUUCAUUCCACAGAUAUCUAUCAAGAGUCUAGUAGAUAUUCCAGAUGGUUUUCAAAGGAACACAUAACUCAUGAUUGGGCUAUAUGUGUGUGGUGUGUGGUGUGUAUGUGUGUGUGUGUGUGUGUUCUAUGUAUAUUUGGUCUUUGUCCCUAGUUCCUGGCACAGAGCUCCUAAAAUUCUUGAAAGGUCCUGAAGGAUAAGAGUGUCUUGUAUUACUCAUAAUGAACCCUUUGGGGGAACGCCUGAGCCUGUGCCCUUGAGGUGCCCUAGGGUGGGGUUCCUAGAUGGUCUUAGGAUGGGGGCUCCUUACCGCAGACUAAACUUGUGGUUUUACAGCUUGGGAACUCUCAGCCCCACCCCUAGAUGAUCAAAGAAGGGGAAGUGGGCUGGAUAUAAAACUCUUGAGUUUCUGGACUGGUGAACACAUGGAGUUCUGGGCGGGUGGUGCCUCUUGAGAAGGCAGGUAAGCUCAGCACUACCCCUUCAUACUUUGCUCUAUGUAUCUCCUCCACUUGGCUGGUUCCAAGUUGUAUCUUUAUUUAUUUGUUUAUUUACUUUUUGGCCACACCCACAGCACAUAGAACUUCCUGCUUGGGCCUGGAUCAUAGCAGAGACUCAAGCCACAGUAGUGGAAAUGUUGGAUCCUUAACUUGCUGAGCCACCAGGGAACUCCUGAGGUGUAUCUUGUAUAAUAGACUUAUAAUCAUAAGUAAAGUGUUUUUCUGAGUUCUGUGAGCCAUUCUAGCAAAUUAUCAAAGCAGAGGGUGGAGGGCUCUCAAAUUGCAGUAAGGCAGAAGUGUGGACGGUCCAGGCACCUCAUUCGAGCUUAUUUUAGAAGUUGGGGCAGUCUUUUGGCACUGAGCCCUUUAACUUAUGGGAUCUGAUGCCAACACUGGUACAGAGUGGAGGGUUUUUGUUCAUUCCCUCCCCCACAAGCAUAUUCUCUUUACUUCUUUCAGAAAACAGCCUUUAGUCCUCUGGUCCUUGCAAACUUUUAACACAGUUGGUGUGAGAUCAAACUGUCCUUGUUGGUUAUCUAUUUUAUGGAUGGAAUUCAUGGCAAGAACCAUGAAGUGUCUGAGACCUUACCCUAUUUACGAGCAAACAGGGCAUGGAGGAAAAAUAGUGAGAAGGGGCUGUCUACAAGCCAGGAAGUGAUGCCUCACCAGAAACCAAGCCUGAUGUCACCUUGAUCUUGGACUUCUAGCCUCCAGCACUGUGUUGUUUGUGUCACCCAGGCUGUGGUAUCUUGUUGUGGCAGUCCUAGCAGAACGUACUGAAGGAGCCAGGAAACAUCAGGUCUUAAAGAUCAUGGAACUAAAAGCCUAGUGAUGAGAUGGAAGUUAAUCAAAUUACUGCUCAGGAUGGUAAGUGGAAGUGGUGAACUGCAGGUUAGCCCUCAACCAGUGCCAGCAUUUCUCAGGGUCCGUGGCCCUUCUCCUCUUGUUGUGGCAGCAAAGAUGGCUUUGAACAUGACUACUCUCAAGACAGGAAAGGGUCACGCUCAUGGCAUAUAGGCUAGGGGUCUAAUUGGAGCCACAGCUGCUGGCCUACACCACAACCACAGUGAUGUUGAUCCGAGCCACAUCUGUGACCUAUACCACAGUUCAUGGCAACACUGGAUCCUUAACCCACCAAGAGAGGCCAGGGAUCGAGCCCGCAACCUCAUGGUUCCUAGUUGGGUUCCUUAACCCUUGAGCCAUGACAGGAACUCCCCAAAGAGAGAUGGUAAUCUUCAAAACAUAAUUUUCAAUUUCAAGAGCCAGUAUUUGAAGGUCCCAGUAUUUGAAGGUCCCAAGAAAUGUGAUUAUUUCAUUUUCAGAAGUCUGAAAAUCUUAUCUUCGAAUGUCAAGAACAAAAUCAGGAGAAAUUCACACAUUAAUGUUUGCACCAAGAGGCACUGAGAAGAAAGAGGGCUACCAUGGGGGAGGUUUGGGUUUUCUCCCACUUCUAGAGAAGAUGUGGCUGAGUGGAUCCGUGGACCCGAAGAUUCCUUGGGGUGGUGCAGUAGGAGAGAGCUUUGUGGAUCUUGCUGCCUAAAAGCAGAGGGGUCCGGGGCAGCGGCCACCAAGGGACUAAAAGACCAUUAGCAUCAGCAGCAUGUGUCCACAGAGACGUGGCCACGUGACAGACUCUCGCCUGCCCCUGAUGCCAUGAUCCUAGCUGAGCAUGGUUAAACUCACUGCCUGGAAUAUGGGAUCUAACGAAUCAUGUUCUCCUAUUGUUAUCACAUUGUUAUGAACAGGCUGGAGCUCUUCUUGGGCACGGCUGGAACCAAGCGCUUGCUUAAUGAAGUUACGCUAGGCUACCGAAAAGAGGGACUGGCUGACUCCUGAGAGGACAGGGGGCACGGCAGUGUGCUGAGCACACUCAGACCUCCAGCAAGGGUCAGAGAUGAGAGUGAAAGAGAACACUGGGCUCUGGGAGGCCAGGCACCCUUCACCGGUGCCUCUCCCGGGCUCUGAUGUUGAAGGAGCUGUAGUCAGGCUGCUUACAUUCAGGAGGGAGAAGAGGGGUCCUGGGAGGUCCGUGGUGCAGAGAGAAGAUGUCGCACCUCAGACACAGAUCCGGGAAAGCCUGAUGUGACCUGGAUGAGACCCAUAACCAGGGACGUAAUUUUCUCCUUCUUCCCUUGUGUUCUCCAGCCCAGAGUGGUCUUGGAUGCUUUCCACGACUCCCCUCUUCAUGCCUAAGCAUCCCCUGACCCUGAGACCCCCCCCCAAAUCUGGGGCCUCCACCUGGCUCCUUGACCCCCACUGCUUUUGUUUUUCAUCACUUGAUUCCUUCCCGCCAAUCUAGAAGGCUCAGGCUACUUUUACGGUUCACAUACAACUUUAUUAAAAAAAAAAAAAAGUGGGAGUUUAUUUUCCUUUCCUUAUAAUAGAUUGUAAACUCCUUUGAGACAGGGAACCCACCUUCUACAAGGUGCUUUAUAUGAUGGACUAGGCAAACAGGGGAGGAUUUCCAAAUGUUGCCUGAUGGACAUCUGGUCCCCUCCAUUCUGAUGGGAAUGCUGACGCCUCUGUCCUCAGCGUCACAGGGGAAAAUUACAAAUAGCACUAGAUGUUCCAAACGUGUUUGCUUUUCUUUCCCAAGAGGACUACUUUGUGCUUCCCUAAGUCGUUCCACUUGGUGGCUCACCCAGCUAUAACUGUCCAAUAAACUUGUCUGGCAAACGACCUCAUAGAAGCUGACGCUAAUAACCUCGAGGACAAACCAGGAUUUCUGGCUUCGCCUGUUGACUUCAAGUACCUGGAGCACUUGUUCAUGUUUUCUUGACUUUGUUCCACAUUUAAUUUUCUUAAAAGAUGCUGUAUUAACUGGAAAAUUCAUGGGGUUUAAUAAGAUGAUAAUGUAGAAUACUUAACACAACUUUGACAGCAAGCAAGCUCUCUCAGUGUGAGCUAAGCUUAUUACCCCAUCGACAGAGAAAUCAUUGUAUUCAUUCUCUCUCCGGUAACCAUACAUGACACAAUAGGAGAAAGCAACGUCUAGGUGGUGGUUCUUUUUGCUUGACACAUAUUUUAAGGUUUGCCCCCUCCUGCUUUCCCUGCAUUUUCUACGUUCUAAAAUGGUCACAAAUAGUAGCACAGUAAGAACUGCAUGAAAAGAAGCUGCAUGCUCUGUACAUUAUUCAUGGCCUCCGUUACCCACAAAGGGCUGGCCUAGUUUUCUCUCUCCACAGGGACGUUGCACACAGCCCACGGUCCGUGUGACUGUGAGCACUCAUGGCAGGUAAUAUUUUAUUUAGCCGACUCCAGACAUCCACACAACCCUCAAACUUGGUAAGAAAGCUGAAGCCCCUCUUGGGAAAUUGAUUUUCAGGAAAUGUGCUGCCUGUUCCAAUAGGGUGCCCACUCUGAGAUGGUACUUCAAAGGACCCUAUCAUGGGAUUCAAGUUAGUGAAAUGUGCACACGAGAUGUUUUCCUGGAUUGAACUUGCUUCUCCUCCACUCAAGGAGGUACUGUUACCUUUUCCUACGAGGGAGCUUUAUUUAUUUAGGGCCACACCCUUGGCAUAUGGAAGUUCCCAGGCUGGGGUCGAA